This 239-nucleotide unclassified non-coding RNA is filed under the name plant metagenome. RNAcentral's name for it is "partial contains small subunit ribosomal RNA, internal transcribed spacer 1, and 5.8S ribosomal RNA". The stretch from base 192 to 239 matches the Rfam family "5.8S ribosomal RNA", at positions 1 to 48 of the family's 154-position model. The record is from RNAcentral.
UUUCCGUAGGUGAACCUGCGGAAGGAUCAUUACAGAGUUCAUGCCCUCACGGGUAGAUCUCCCACCCUUGAAUAUUUAUACCUUAGUUGCUUUGGCAGGCCGUGGAAACACCAUGGGCUCCGGCUUAUGCGUGCCUGCCAGAGGAAACAAACUCCGUUUUUAGUGAUGUCUGAGUACUAUAUAAUAGUUAAAACUUUCAACAACGGAUCUCUUGGUUCUGGCAUCGAUGAAGAACGCAC